Molecule: long non-coding RNA, 378 nt
Filed under: Androctonus crassicauda
Lineage: Eukaryota; Metazoa; Arthropoda; Arachnida; Scorpiones; Buthidae
Source: RNAcentral
CAAAACUCGACAUGUUCAAUGCUAUUAAAAACUAUGCUGUUAUAUGAAACUUGUAUUGUUAUGAGUCGAAAAUUCACAAUUGAUCAAUAGUUGGUAACUUCAUUGUGUACAGUCCCAUUGCAAUUUCAGAACUGCCAGUUUCAUCAGCUUACAUCUUUUGCAGGUGCAAGUAAUAAUGAAAUUUGAAUCUUUAAUUUUUUUUAUGUACAGUCUAUUCCAAAAUGUAUUGCAGGCAGCAGGAAACAGUUCGGCUUUUGUACAAAACACGGAAUUUAGUUGCAUUUAUCGCGUCGAGUGCUGGUUAACGCUCAAAUUGGCAAUUAGCCAUUUCAUUAUGGUUACCGUAGAAACCGGGGUUGGGUGGCUGAUGAGAGCGCG